UUACGUGCAACCAUGCAUUACUAUAUCAUUAGUUAUUCGCAUAAUACAUCGUAUAAUGAUUUGCUGUUUUUUGUAUAUAUCUAAGUAUGCUUUUGCAACGUUUUUACUCGUUGAUUUUGCCCAACCUGGCGUUCAAAUAGCAUAUAAUAAGUAUAUGCCAAUAUUUAUAGUGCGGUUAAUUAACCCUUCAAAAUAACAAGUACAGUGUGAUUGGACGGAUAGAAAUUUUAAACAGAUAAAAAUUAGGUGCAAAGACUGGCACUAGCUUCAAAUCCCCUUUUUUAACAGGUUGCAUUGCAGCUCAGGAAAUAUUUGGAAAAUCAAAAAACUGCUUUAAUGUUCUAUAGACAUUUUUUUGUCUACUUUCAAGCCACAGAACUAAUUUUUUUUGUGAAGUACUUUUGAAUUUUGAGAUUUCGAGCCUUAAUAAAAAUUUAUAAUAAAAUUCAGAAAUUCCAAAUUUUUGGCUAUUAGCGUUAAUUUCACAGAUGCCUCCAUAUCUGAAAUUCAUACUUGUGUCAAAGUCUACACAUCCUCUCAAUAUGGUGCUUUCUUCACAAAACGCACAAUAGAUUCGCUUAUCCGCCCCACUAUAACAACUUGUGCGUUUUUACCUGUGUACUUUGGAAGCACCAGAACAGUUCCGAACAGUCAUGUGAUCGUGUUCUGUUCCAUUCCAUUAGUGUUCCCAAAAUCUGGAGUACUC
Non-coding RNA from Paramuricea clavata, 706 nucleotides. Lineage: Eukaryota; Metazoa; Cnidaria; Anthozoa; Malacalcyonacea; Plexauridae. The record is from the annotation of a GenBank genome assembly.